GCCUGUGUAGCUUAACACAAAGCAAAGCACUGAAGAUGCUUAGAUAAAUUUCUAAUUUCACGGGCA
RNAcentral lists this transfer RNA (66 nucleotides) under Cricetus cricetus (black-bellied hamster). RNAcentral's name for it is "tRNA-Phe". It matches the Rfam family "tRNA". From Rfam's summary of the family: Transfer RNA (tRNA) molecules are approximately 80 nucleotides in length. Their secondary structure includes four short double-helical elements and three loops (D, anti-codon, and T loops). The record is from RNAcentral. Lineage: Eukaryota; Metazoa; Chordata; Mammalia; Rodentia; Cricetidae.